GUGUGCGUGUGUAAAGCAUCAACAGCAAGGGACAAGUGGAGACUCCCCAACAUUUUUAGGUGAGCAGGAGCUAAAACGUCCAUGGGAGUUAAAGCACUCACUUCAUACGCCUUGAAGGAAAAUACAGAAUUGGGAUUGAUUUUCUUUC
Oxyura jamaicensis (ruddy duck) is the source of this 148-nucleotide long non-coding RNA. RefSeq lists it as uncharacterized. Lineage: Eukaryota; Metazoa; Chordata; Aves; Anseriformes; Anatidae. The record is from RefSeq and is a predicted model, not a curated record. The transcript has 3 exons.